Molecule: ribosomal RNA, 243 nt
Filed under: uncultured Actinomycetales bacterium
Lineage: Bacteria; Bacillati; Actinomycetota; Actinomycetes; Actinomycetales
Description: partial 16S ribosomal RNA
Rfam family: Bacterial small subunit ribosomal RNA
Source: RNAcentral
UACUCGAGUGGCGAAUGGGUGAGUAACACGUGGGUGAUCUGCCCUGCACUUCGGGAUAAGCCUGGGAAACUGGGUCUAAUACCGGAUAGGAGCCAUUUUUAGUGUGAUGGUUGGAAAGUUUUUUCGGUGUAGGAUGAGCUCGCGGCCUAUCAGCUUGUUGGUGGGGUAAUGGCCUACCAAGGCGGCGACGGGUAGCCGGCCUGAGAGGGUGGACGGCCACAUUGGGACUGAGAUACGGCCCAG